Molecule: ribosomal RNA, 740 nt
Filed under: uncultured archaeon
Lineage: Archaea
Description: bacterial SSU rRNA
Rfam family: Archaeal small subunit ribosomal RNA
Source: RNAcentral
UUCCGGUUGAUCCUGCCGGACCCGACUGCUAUCAGAGUGGGACUAAGCCAUGCGAGUCGACGCAGCAAUGCGUGGCGAACGGCUCAGUAACACGUAGUCAACAUGCCCAGGGGACGUGGACAACCUCGGGAAGCUGAGAAUAAACCACGAUAGGUCAUGAUUUCUGGAAUGGAUCAUGGCCCAAAUCUACAUGGCCCCUGGAUUGGGCUGCGGCCGAUCAGGCAGUUGGUGAGGUAAAGGCCCACCAAACCUAUAACCGGUACGGGCUCUGAGAGGAGAAGCCCGGAGAUGGGCACUGAGACAAGGGCCCAGGCCCUAUGGGGCGCAGCAGGCGCGAAACCUCUGCAAUAGGCGAAAGCCUGACAGGGUUACUCUGAGUGAUUUCCGCUAAGGGGAUCUUUUGGCACCUCUAAAAAUGGUGCAGAAUAAGGGGUGGGCAAGUCUGGUGUCAGCCGCCGCGGUAAUACCAGCACCCCGAGUGGUCGGGACGAUUAUUGGGCCUAAAGCAUCCGCAGCCGGUUCUGCAAGUCUUCCGUUAAAUCCAGCCGCUCAACGGAUGGGCCGCGGAGGACACUACAGGACUAGGAGGCGGGAGAGGCAAGCGGUACUCAGUGGGUAGGGGUAAAAUCCUUUGAUCCGUUGAAGACCACCAGUGGCGAAGGCGGCUUGCCAGAACGCGCUCGACGGUGAGGGAUGAAAGCUGGGGGAGCAAACCGGAUUAGAUACCCGGGUAGUCCCAG